Molecule: long non-coding RNA, 349 nt
Organism: Candoia aspera
Lineage: Eukaryota; Metazoa; Chordata; Lepidosauria; Squamata; Candoiidae
Exons: 3
Source: RefSeq, a predicted model, not a curated record
ACAAGGAUAUUCCAAUGGAAUGGAUUUUGACAGCCUCUAAGGAGACACCACACACUUACCUAGCUUGUGAAGAGUUAUCUUAUUCAAAACUGUGGAGUUGCCCCAUGAAGCUAGAAUGAAGGAGAACUCAAGAGACAUCUCUAGGUACCUUCAUUUGGUUUCACUGCUUUGUUUCAGAUCUUCAGAAGAUGGGAACUGGCUCCACAGGAUGAACACCUAAAGAGCAACAUUUUCACUCCAGCUCCAGAAGACAAACAGAAGAAUAGUAGUGGAAAGGGCCACUGAGGACACUGAGGUCAACUCCUACUCAGUGAAAUCUCCAAGUUCAACUAUCACAAACAGAUGGUGA